GAUCCUGGCUCAGGAUGAACGCUAGCUACAGGCUUAACACAUGCAAGUCGAGGGGCAUCAGUUUGGUUUGCUUGCAAACCAAAGCUGGCGACCGGCGCACGGGUGAGUAACACGUAUCCAACCUGCCUCAUACGUCGGGGAUAGCCUUUCGAAAGAAAGAUUAAUAUCCGAUAGCAUAUAUUUCCCGCAUGGGUUUUAUAUUAAAGAAAUUCGGUAUGAGAGUGGGGAUGCGUUCCAUUAGUUUG
Molecule: ribosomal RNA, 245 nt
Filed under: uncultured bacterium
Lineage: Bacteria
Description: partial 16S ribosomal RNA
Rfam family: Bacterial small subunit ribosomal RNA
Source: RNAcentral